UACGGGGGGAGCAAGCGUUGUUCGGAUUUACUGGGCGUAAAGGGCGCGUAGGCGGUCAGCACAAGUCAGUUGUGAAAUCUCCGGGCUUAACUCGGAAAGGUCAACUGAUACUGUGCGACUAGAGUGCGGAAGGGGCAACUGGAAUUCUCGGUGUAGCGGUGAAAUGCGUAGAUAUCAGGAAGAACACCCGUGGCGAAGGCGGCUCUCUGGAACGCAACUGACGCUGAGACGCGAAAGCGUGGGGAGCAAACAGG
This 254-nucleotide ribosomal RNA is filed under the name uncultured bacterium. RNAcentral's name for it is "partial 16S ribosomal RNA". It matches the Rfam family "Bacterial small subunit ribosomal RNA", at positions 524 to 776 of the family's 1533-position model. The record is from RNAcentral.